GGUUAAGCCAAACCUGGCAAACUUUGCCCUGGGGAGGAUGAAGAACACUCACCUGGAGCAUCGAGGUGGUCUGGAUGGGGCUGGAGCCUGCAGGAGAUGGAUGGAGAGGCUUUAAAGCACCUCAGGGAUGGUUUGAGGAAAGUUUUGUUGACUCCAGGAGGGAGAAACAGUUUUGCAGGGAGCAGAGACACAGCAUGGAGCUCAUGGCAUCGCUGUCAAGCACCAAGAUGAAAGGAUGGGGUCCUAUCCUGCACAGUUCAAGGAGUUUCUCUUGAACUCCCUCCAAACCAGAGCCUCUUUCUACCUCCAGGGAGGGCAUAAAGGAACCACAGUAAAAAUAAACAACCCUCCCAGGUUAAAAUGUUCCACCCUCACCUCCUGCUGCAACCUGAGCUCCCGAGAUGAGGACACACAGCCCUGAUGCUGUUCAAAGCCCAUGGCUCACCCAGCCCCGUGAUGCCACCAAGGGGUGUUUGCUCAUCCUCGGGAUCCAGCACAGCAGGAUCUGAACUUCCAGUGGCCUGUGCCAGGGCAGGAGAUGCUGAACAGGGGCAUCUGAGUUUCUGACCCUCUUGUUCCUGAGGAACCUGGGUUUUCCCAGUUUGUCCCAGGGCCACCACAGAGAAGAAAUUCCACGAUCACAUCCACAUCAUUGCACCCAGUCCUGUACUGGUCCUACCAAGAAAAAAAACCACCACAAAUCAACUCAAAAGCCCAUUUCCCAGUACCUUCCACCCCUUUCUAAGGCAAUCAUCUCUCUGUCCUGCUCCUAUCACCUCCCUCCCACCCCUGCUGUCUCCGGGAAGCGAAGGGUUAAAAGCUCUGAAACUGUAAGAACUUCCUCCUUUCUGCAGUGCCACCCUCGGAAUGACGCUGGUUUCUGCCGGGCUUUGCCCAAAUAUGUCCGUUUCCUUCUGAAAGACGGAGGAGGAAGGAAAGAAAUAGAGAUACAGAAGAAACAGCUAUAUUUUAGUGUCUAUAUCGAAGAGAAGGCGUCCGCGCCCGGGGAACCCAGGCGUCCGAGCGCAGCCCUGCCUCCUCCCGCUCCAUGCCGUUCCGCAAAGUCCUUUGAUCCUUGUUGGAUGAUUUCCAGCUUUAUCAAUCGAGGCAGGGGAAACUGAGGCACAGGAGGGCUGAGAUGGGCUGGAGGCUGUGCUGAUGGUGCCUUUAGCUGCUCAUAUCCACGGGUCCAGCUCUCUCUGCACCAAUCCUGGCAGUGCCAGAGCAUCCUGAGGUGUGUUCCCUGUGUAGGUACAUUUGUGGAUAUUACUGGUGCACGUUUCAUUGUAGUGCAGUGCGGAGCUUCCAAAUCAGCCCCUGUGGGCAGGAGCGGGGUGUUAAAACCCCACCCGCAGAGAUGUCACGUUUUGGGCAGACUAAACAAACCCUUUGUACCUGAGUUUCAAGGACGCCCUACAGCUCAGAUCCUGAAAAGUCUAAACAAAAGUGAAUUGGGAGGAAGCAAACUGGAAGUAUGUGACUUCAUUAGCUCCAGUUACCUGUAAUUGGAGGUUUAACCCCUGAUAUGUAAAUGGACCAAACUUACAUAUGUCUGCAAAACUCAUUACCAUUGUUCAUUUUUGGGUGUAGCCCCUUGGGGAAGCUUUGUCUGCCCUUAAUGUACCUGAAGGCCCUUCAGUAAAUAUAUCUGCUUUUAUUCUUUUAAUUUUGUGUGCCUUCCGUUCCUAGGUAAGCCCAAAACCACAUCAGUACUGGGAGAAAAA
RNAcentral lists this long non-coding RNA (1724 nucleotides) under Chloebia gouldiae (Gouldian finch). RNAcentral's name for it is "Erythrura gouldiae (Gouldian finch) lncRNA (ENSEGOG00005005626.1)". Lineage: Eukaryota; Metazoa; Chordata; Aves; Passeriformes; Passeridae. The record is from RNAcentral.